GAUACAUCAUUUCCACUCUUUCUACAUCGCAUCCACCUUCGUACUCAAUGGCCGAACAUCAGUUCACUGUUAUUCCUCAUAAAGAACAAAGAUUUCGAGAUGGUAGUAAAAGCGAAUGUGUGAGCCGUGCGGACAAGGGAUACAACUCAGUGACACAUCUAUAAUCUUGAGAAGAAGUUUGCUACGGGAGCUUCAGUUGUCAAGGUUUGCAGAAGAUGGAUUUCAAAUACGAAUAAUAGUUUAUGAGCUUACAUAUAUAUCAGUGAUACUGAGUCCUGCUGGUCUUGUGAUCAGUGGGGAACUAUAUGAUCUAAGUUACGUAGCUUAUGGUUUGUAGAGUUUGUUAUUCCUUAAAGUUUGGGUCCCUAAUUUCAAAUUUGCAUUUACAGAACUAUUGACCCCUAAACGCAUCAAAACGUAAUCACUUGGUUUAAUAUAAACACGAUUUUUCGAUCUGUUUGUCCCUAACUAACUCAUUAAGCACUUGAUCGAACCUCACUGUCAACAUUCCCUUAACAAAUAUUUGUACUCUUGAUCUUCUUUUGAAAUUAUGGUUUUGAUUGGUAAUAUUCUUGUAUAUUAUUUCUCUAUGUUUUGUUCAAAUACAUGUCAAUCAGAGUAGCUAAGCUGGGAAAGGAUUCAGCAGCUUUAAAUGAAGAUAGCUAAAUAUAUAGGUCGAAAUCCUUAUACUUUUCCCGCACUGUUUUAUAAAUAAUUUUUUAUCCAUGUGACAACAAAAAUUUCGGGUCUUGUUUAACAUCAUACGAGAUACAUUUAAGCUUAGCAAGUGUAAACACAACUGCAAAUACUGUGUGGCUUGCUAGGCUUGUUAUUUGCCAGACAAAGGCCAUCCCCCUGUACUUCAUAAAAAAGUGGUUGGCAUUCUUGAAUAUUGCAUGGCCUGUUAAGCUUCAAGAGCACAAUACGUGUUCUUCUAUCCGCUCCAUCUGCACUUGGCAAAGCCAAAAAGGUAUAAUAAGAAUAAAAGAGCUUACCAAUAGAUUUAUAUUUAAAUAUACACUAGAUUUUGACCCGCACAGGCGUGCGAGUAUAUUUUAAAAAAAAAUAUAAUGCUAUUUGCUUUUUAUGUUACUAUUUAGAGUUGGGCAAAAAACUCGAACUCGAAAAAUCGAACCGAUCCCAAUCCGAAUAAGUAGUACUAAAUCCGAACCAGAAUUGAUUAAAUAUCUGAAUUAUUCAAAAUUUUGGUAUUUGAAGAACUGAAAUCUAAUCCGAUCCGAACCGAAGUAUUUUGGGUAUCCAAAAUAGAUUUAUAUAUUUAUAUAUAUUAAUUAUUUUUAGAUUUAAUAUAUAUAAAUACA
This is a long non-coding RNA of Brassica rapa (field mustard), 1322 nucleotides long. RefSeq lists it as uncharacterized. NCBI's taxonomy places the organism in Eukaryota, Viridiplantae, Streptophyta, Magnoliopsida, Brassicales, Brassicaceae. The record is from RefSeq and is a predicted model, not a curated record.